This 519-nucleotide ribosomal RNA is filed under the name uncultured bacterium. RNAcentral's name for it is "partial 16S ribosomal RNA". It matches the Rfam family "Bacterial small subunit ribosomal RNA", at positions 28 to 507 of the family's 1533-position model. The record is from RNAcentral.
GACGAACGCUGGCGGCGUGCCUAAUACAUGCAAGUCGAGCGAGUCUGCCUUGAAGAUCGGAGUGCUUGCACUCUGUGAAACAAGAUACAGGCUAGCGGCGGACGUGUGAGUAACACGGGGGUAACCUGGCCAAGAGAUCGGGAUAACCGCUGGAUACAGAUGCUAAUACGGUAUAACAACAAAUGAUGCCUAUCAACUGAUUAAUAGAUGGUUCUGCUAUCCCUCUUGGAUGUACCAGCGGUGCAUUAGCUAGUUGGUAGGGUAACGGCCUACCAAGGCGACGAUGCGUAGCCGACCUGAGAGACUGAUCGGCCACACUGGAACUGAGACACGGCCCAGACUCCUACGGGAGGCAGCAGUAGGGAAUCUUCCACAAUGGACGCAAGUCUGAUGGAGCAACGCCGCGUGAGUGAAGAAGGGUUUCGGCUCGUAAAGCUCUGUUGUUGGUGAAGAAGGACAGGGGUAGUAACUGACCUUUGUUUGACGGUAAUCAAUUAGAAAGUCACGGCUAACUACGUG